GACGAACGCUGGCGGCGUGCCUAAUACAUGCAAGUCGAACGAACCGCGACUAAGUGCUUGCACUAAGUCAAGGUGAGUGGCGAACGGGUGAGUAACACGUGGGUAACCUACCUCAUAGUGGGGGAUAACAGUCGGAAACGACUGCUAAUACCGCAUAGGACAUAGGAUCACAUGAUCCAGUGAGGAAAGGUGGCGCAAGCUAUCGCUAAGAGAUGGACCCGCUGUGCAUUAGCUAGUUGGUAGGGUAAAGGCCUACCAAGGCGAUGAUGCAUAGCCGACCUGAGAGGGUGAUCGGCCACAUUGGGACUGAGACACGGCCCAAACUCCUACGGGAGGCAGCAGUAGGGAAUCUUCCGCAAUGGACGAAAGUCUGACGGAGCAACGCCGCGUGAGUGAAGAAGGUCUUCGGAUCGUAAAGCUCUGUUGUUAGAGAAGAACAGCGCAUAGAGUAACUGCUAUGCGUGUGACGGUAUCUAACCAGAAAGCCACGGCUAACUACGUG
Molecule: ribosomal RNA, 502 nt
Filed under: uncultured bacterium
Lineage: Bacteria
Description: partial 16S ribosomal RNA
Rfam family: Bacterial small subunit ribosomal RNA
Source: RNAcentral